AAUUGUUUUCUACAGAUUGGCGUUGAAGUCUGUCGGUUCCUAGACACGACAUUUGGGGGCUCGUCCGGGAUACGAAAAAGGGAUCGCUGAAGCUCCCGGCUCCUGGAGACAGAGGCAGAGGCCCCUUAAAAAGCUGCGGAGCUUAACUAUUUAACUAUUUGUUUCGGACUGGGGCACUGUCCCCUCUGACCUCCUCUCCAUGAACGCCGGGAGUGAAAUCCUCUCGUCAAACUAACCCGGACACUAACACCGAAAAUUGAGGGGAAGGAAGCAGCGAGUUCUUCAGAAACGUGCGCAGUGAACCAGGUGCCAGAGACUUGGGAGGAGAGAAACCCAAGAAGGGCCACCUGCAAGAGCUCUGGUAAAAGCGUUUUUGGGAAAAACACUGUCCUCUGAGGUGUAAAGUAAGAGAAAAAAUAUUGUUGGUAAGGUAAAAUAUUGUUAAACCGUGCUUAUGCUUAGAUUAGAUGCUUGUGCUUGCGCGGAACUAACGUUGUAUUGAGGCAACUGAGGUAAAAAUUGUGAUUUAUGUGUAUGUACAACUAUAAAGGAAAAAGGGGGAAAAUAAGUAAAGAAACGUGAAGUGUGUAGAAGGUAUAAACGGGGGGAAUAAAGGUUAUAUAAUAAAAGGUUAUAUAAUAAAAUAUAAAUAAGAAAUAGAAUAAAAGUAUUAAAAUAAACAUAAAAUAAUGGAAAAGGGAGAGAAAACGCCGGUUGAAAUAAUCACGGGAAAAUAUCCUAAAUGUAAACGGGAGAUAGAACAUAUAUCAGAAAAAUGGAAAAAAAGAACUAAAAGAAUGGCGACAAAAUGGCCUAAAGGGGGUACGUUUGAUAGGUAAAUAUGCGAUCAGAUGGGUAAUAGCAAAUUAUAGAACAGGAGACAAGUCAGAAAAAAGAAAGCUAAAAAGAGAACAGGAAAAAACAAUUUUAGGAUGGUUUAGGUCCGCUUCCCUAGAAAAAUAUGUAGGAAUAAGUAGGGGUCACAGUGAAAUAAUGACUCCUCCUCCGUAUGCCCCGCAGUCAUCGGGACAUACGGUAAUAAAAGAGAAAGGCUUGUAUCCAAUAGGCCCGGUAACAUCUGCAGUGACAGUGUGUCCAGUAGUAAAAGGACAGGUUCAGAUACAAGGGUGGGUAGAACAUGAGGAAGGUGAGGAACAGCUCAGGAUAGAGAGAGCACGGCUCGAGGAAGAAAAGGGAAAAAUAGAUAAAAGGGUAACAGAGCUAAGGGGAGAGUACAAGGAAGUGGAGGAAUUAGAAAAGCUGUUAAAAGCAAAAUAUAACCAGUAUGAUGAAUACCAUAGCCGGUUAAUAAAAAAGGCAAAAGAGAUAAGAGACACUGAGAAAAAACAGCGAGCAUCUAAAAUAUGCCAAAAGCCUGAACAGGUGGGGUCAAAAAGGGACGGGGAAACACAUAAAAGACGCAAAACUGCGGGGUGGGGAAACAUUAGAUGGGAAAAGCUCCCGUAUAACACGUGGGAAGAGCUGAAGCCAAAAAUUACCAAAGGAACAGAUUCCCGAGAUAAACAUAAGCCAAGUUUAGCAAAAGGCACUACAAAUAAAAAGCAAACCCCCCAUGCAGAAUAUAAAUUAGAAUAUAAUAAAGGGGAGGAGGAGUUCUCCCCAGCAGGAAAAAGUGAGGCGAGCGACAGUGAGGCAAGCCAGGCAAGUAAUAGCGAGGCAGAAGAGUCAGACGGGGGAGAGGGGCCUGCACAGGUGGGGGGAGAUUUAGCUGGGCGAUAUCAAAACGUAAGAGAAAGACCGCCAACCCGGCGUAACCCAGCAGCAGAAGGAUAUAGCCAUAAUGCUAAAAACCCCAAUACCAUAGCACCAUUGUUGAUUAAGGAAGGGGAUGUACCCCGAUACAUUCUCUGGUCCACCCAAGAUAUGCAUAAUGUAAUAACCAAUCUCCCUGAUUUGCAGAAUGGGGCGAGCCACUGGAUCAGGGUGCUGGAGGAGGAGAUGACGGGCCGGAUCCUGGCUGUGGGGGACCUGAAGGCUCUCCUGGGAAAGGUUGUGGGGAUGGAGACAAUGCUGGACAUAUUUGAGCAGGCUGGCUUUGACAGAAACCAUGCGCAGUCUCCAGCAGUGGACGGUGGGCCGUUUGAUAACGUGCGUGGGGUUGUUUGGACUGCUUUGUGAGCCCUGUAUCCCGCUCGACCGGACAUAACGACCUUAACGGGACUGCCGUUAAAAGACAAUGAACCACCGGCAGCAUACAUCCACAUGCAGUUGCGCAGGUGGAGAUUGAUAACUGAAAGGGACGUACGGGCAGAUCCCAUAAUGACCACCCUCUUCCGCAAAGCCAUCCGGGAGGGGAUGUCACAGGAAGUGGGGCGCCGCCUCGAUGAGGUGGUGGGACUGAACACCAUGGCACACAGAGAAUUUGUGGAUCAUGUGGCGCACACUGUAGAAAGGCAGCGGAAAGAGGGGAAAAAGCUGGGAGAUCAAACAAAAGACAUUCAAAGGAAGCUACUGCAGUUGCAGCUGGAGGAGCUGAGGAGCCAAAGAAAAAAAGGCGAGAGAAAUAAAAGAGCUGGAUAAAGAAAAAGAGGCAAAAAAAGUGGCAUCUGUGAAAAUACAGAAUAUGGACAAUGAAUUCUUUGACUUUGAAGCCACCCCCCUCGCCUGAACCAUGGAGCAGCCUGAUGGUGCCCUGGCCGACGGUGAUCUACAACUUCAUCCCUCACCCAGUGGCCAUGCAAGAUACAAAAGGGCAGUGCAUAAGCGAUGAAAAUGCUGGAGAAACUGGCAAAGGGGGGACACAAGGUGUCCAGGAAGAAGCUGCAGCUCUGCUCUCAGGAGGUGGAGUACUUGGGAAGAGUAAUCACGGCUGGCGGCAUCCAAUUGGUGUCGUACAGGGUGACUAACGCAGGAGCCAGGCGCCAGACGGGUGAUUCCAGUUUCCGGCGGAAGCUGUCACAGUCCAGGGAGACGGGGAGAGCGGAGGGACUGCGGGCGCUGACACCAUUCCAGGGAGCAACAGCACCAACAGUGCCCCUGCGGGUCCAGUAUGAGAAUCGCAAGCCGGCUUUCCAGUGGAGUGACGUGCAGACCGCGUACUCUGGAUUGGAAGAUAUACCAGGAGCCCACCAACUACGAGGACUGCGGCAAAUCCUCGUGCUACGAAUCAACGUGUUAAGAAACUGUGUAUGAUAACUUUGUUGGGUCACUUAGAAUAAUAUAUAGAGCUUUGAUAUGUAUAAUCAAAUUUUGCGACUGGAGAGAGUGUUGGAGGAACCAUGGGAACAACGUUACAUUGAGGAAUCUGAUACAUUUGGAUGCUGCUAUGGCAGCAGGGGAUGCGCAGGCACCCAACGUAAUAUACAUGGGGUGGUGCACACCCGACGCUGUCUGACGCUGAGAAUAAGAAUACAGCGAGGGGAGUCUUUCGGGGCCAUAAGAUUUGACCCCGAAAGGGGGGAAAUGUAGGAAAAGUUUGAGACUCCCCAUGAUUGAGAUGGCGUCACAUGUUAAAGUUAGGGAAUUCCCAUCAAUGUUGAUCAAACUGGUUCCUCCAAACUCUCGAUGCUUCAUGAUAAAAAUAUAUCACAUGUAUAACUAUACACUCAUAUAAUCAAUGUGUAAUCCAAUAAAUCUAUAUCAGUAGUUGCAGCAAAGCUUAUGGAAACGCAAGAAACCACAGUAUCCACUGUAGAAAAAAAGGCAAACGCAGAAGGCUUAAGAAAAAUCACACUUACUCACUCAGCAGAAAACACUAAUCAAAUACUAAUCAUACACUAUUGCCUAUAACUUCAGCAGAUAACACUAACCAAAAAACUAAUCAUAUAUUGCUAAAAUAUAAUCCAAAAACUAACAAAACGCUAUUACCAAAUAGAAGUGCUAGAAGACUAAUAUUUUACAGUGACCCCUGUGUAACCUGAAUACAGUAGAAAAGUACAGGAGGCUAUAACUCUGUAACUUGUAUGCUUAAUGGAAAAUUACAGAAGGCUGUGACUUGUAUGCUUAAUGGAAAAUUACAGAGUAAAGACUGAUAUUUUUCAAAGGGAAAGUUGGGGUAACUUUCCACAAUGACGAUAUCACCU
This is an RNA transcript of Anguilla anguilla (European eel), 4043 nucleotides long. RefSeq lists it as uncharacterized. NCBI's taxonomy places the organism in Eukaryota, Metazoa, Chordata, Actinopteri, Anguilliformes, Anguillidae. The record is from RefSeq and is a predicted model, not a curated record. The transcript is spliced from 3 exons.